CUCCUAGUCACCCCUGUCCCCUGAAGGCCUGUCACCUGGCCUGUCCACCAGAGUGACAGCUCUGGCCCUGGCAGGCCUGGGGCCUCUCCCCAGGGGUUGUUUGCACGAUGAGGUGGGCUCUGGAAACCCCGAUGCCUGGCUAGCAUUUCAGCGCGGCUCUCCAGGCCCAGUAAACAAUAAUUCCAUCUUCAUCUCAUAAAAGUAGAGGGCCUGAAUCCUGAUCCUCCCAGGCAGGGCACUGUCUUGCUAUGUAGUCCAGAAUAGCAUCGAAUUCGUGGCUCUCUUCCUGUCUCAGCCUCCAGAAAGCACAUCGCUUCACAGUGAGUUUCAAAGAGGUUGCCGGCAAAGAAACUCGGACCUUUGGGCAGGCAGCUUUGCUCCUUCCUCUCUUCAGGCCUGGCUGACUCCACCAAUCUUUGAGGCCCGGAGAAGAGCACCGGUGUCACCGCCCACUCCUCCUGACAGCCCGCAACGGUCCAUCAGUGUCGGGGGAAAAGGGUGGCCCUAAGGCUCCCCCCCCCCCCGCACACUCUCAGAAGCUGCUGGUUGCCAUAGGGAACCGAGGGGCAAGACAAGGAAGGAUGCCAGGGGUGGGCAGACGCGGGAAGGCAAGCCCUGGCUCAGCACCGCGGACUCCCUUCCCGAAGUCCCUCAGGCUCCGGCCAGUGGCCGCGCUGAUGAGGCUAUCAUCUCGGGAAAGCUGGUGCAGCGGCCAGGGCGCAGGGGCUGCCAGCCAGGCCUGCUGUCUAGGCGGCUCCACCUGGAUGCAGAAAGCGAGGCGGGCAGGG
RNAcentral lists this long non-coding RNA (788 nucleotides) under Mus pahari (shrew mouse). Its description in RNAcentral is "lncRNA (MGP_PahariEiJ_G0012152.1)". The record is from RNAcentral. Lineage: Eukaryota; Metazoa; Chordata; Mammalia; Rodentia; Muridae.